GAGAGAGGCUAGAAGCAAUGAGAACUGCUAAUUCUCACCCCCAUGGCUAAACUCCAUGGCUCACUCAC
This 68-nucleotide transfer RNA is filed under the name Acanthopoma annectens. Its description in RNAcentral is "tRNA-Ser". Lineage: Eukaryota; Metazoa; Chordata; Actinopteri; Siluriformes; Trichomycteridae. The record is from RNAcentral.